This is a long non-coding RNA of Hemicordylus capensis (graceful crag lizard), 735 nucleotides long. RefSeq lists it as uncharacterized. The record is from RefSeq and is a predicted model, not a curated record. The transcript is spliced from 2 exons. Lineage: Eukaryota; Metazoa; Chordata; Lepidosauria; Squamata; Cordylidae.
GGGGCUGGAAGUAGGCUUUAAGCCCUGUCAGUUCUGCACUGGAGCACUUCAGGACAAUGAGGAGAGGCUGCUUCUGAGUAGGGACACCAGGAGUUCUCCAGGAGAGGGAACUGGCUGAAUGCAGCAAGCCAGGAGGAGGUCUCGGGUGACAAACGUCUCCGUUGCUGUAGGAAGGAUGGCGAAUUACGGAACGUACGGCCUGUCUCAUAGCAGCAGCAAUCAAUCCGGCCGCGAACCGUCUCCUCUGGGAUCUGGGCAUUGGUUCGGUUCGAUGACACCACAACCCUGCAACCAUGGUGCCUACAGCGGUUGCGGCGGAUACGGUGGAUAUGGAAACUUCGGUGGCCAUAGCAGCUAUGGGAGAUCAGGUUGCCAUGGUGGCAAUGGCGGCAUGGGUGGAUAUGGCGGAUAUGGUGGCCACGGAGGGUGUGGCAAUCCCAGGCCUUAUCCGUCUUCCCAGUGGGGCUCUGGAUGGGGCAACUGAAUCUCCGCAGGUCUCUGGCACCCAACGGGUACAUCGGAAGCGAAUGAACAUUCAACAUUCAUUCAUUUCCCGAGACCCUUUUACCCGCAGCCAAUUGUAGACAUCCAUCCAGUUCCCAAAUGUGGAGGGUGGGCAUCAUAAUCGCCCUGAUUUCUUUUUCAAAACGAGAGAUGGUUUGUCAGUGGUAUUUUGUUGUGUGAUGUGAGUUUGCCAAACAAUUAAAAAAAACAACAACACUGAUGUGAACUCAA